UAGCUAGUUGGUGGGGUAAGGGCCUACCAAGGCGACGAUCGGUAGCUGGUCUGAGAGGAUGACCAGCCACACUGGAACUGAGACACGGUCCAGACUCCUACGGGAGGCAGCAGUGGGGAAUAUUGGACAAUGGGGGCAACCCUGAUCCAGCAAUGCCGCGUGUGUGAAGAAGGCCUGAGGGUUGUAAGGCACUUUCAGUGGGGAGGAGGGUUGAUAGGUUAAGAGCUAAUUAACUGGACGUUACCCACAGAAGAAGCACCGGCUAACUCCGUGCCAGCAGCCGCGGUAAUACGGAGGGUGCGAGCGUUAAUCGGAAUUACUGGGCGUAAAGGGUGCGUAGGUGGUUGAUUAAGUUAUCUGUGAAAUUCCUGGGCUUAACCUGGGACGGUCAGAUAAUACUGGUUGACUCGAGUAUGGGAGAGGGUAGUGGAAUUUCCGGUGUAGCGGUGAAAUGCGUAGAGAUCGGAAGGAACACCAGUGGCGAAGGCGGCUACCUGGCCUAAUACUGACACUGAGGCACGAAAGCGUGGGGAGCAAACAGGAUUAGAUACCCUGGUAGUCCACGCUGUAAACGAUGUCAACUAGCUGUUGGUUAUAUGAAAAUAAUUAGUGGCGC
RNAcentral lists this ribosomal RNA (616 nucleotides) under uncultured Legionella sp. RNAcentral's name for it is "bacterial SSU rRNA". It matches the Rfam family "Bacterial small subunit ribosomal RNA", at positions 242 to 849 of the family's 1533-position model. The record is from RNAcentral. Lineage: Bacteria; Pseudomonadati; Pseudomonadota; Gammaproteobacteria; Legionellales; Legionellaceae.